Molecule: long non-coding RNA, 689 nt
Filed under: Nicotiana tabacum (common tobacco)
Lineage: Eukaryota; Viridiplantae; Streptophyta; Magnoliopsida; Solanales; Solanaceae
Description: long non-coding RNA (NTAB_LNC006163)
Source: RNAcentral
UUUGAUGGCGAAGGCCCUUGCCCUUGAAGGGAGUUUUUUCGAACAUAUCGAAACAACAGCCCGUCGUCGUUCUAUUGAGGUCGAACCUUUCUUUUUUGAUGGUGAAGGCCCUUGUCCUUGAAGGGUGUUAUUUCAAACUUAUCGAAAUAACAACCGAUCGUCGUUCGAUCAAGGUCGAACCUUUCUUUUUUGAUGGCAAGUCCCUUGGCCUUGAAGGGUGUUAUUUCGAAAUUAUUGAAAUAACAGCCCAUCGUCGUUCUAUCGAGGUCGAACCUUUAUUUUUUAAUGGCGAAGGACCUUGGCCUUGAAGGGUGUUAUUUCAAAAUUAUCGAAUUAAUAGCCCAUCGUCGUUCGAUCAAGGUCGAAACCUUUCUUUUUGAUGGCGAAGGUCCUUGGCCUUGAAGGGUGUUAUUUCGAACUUAUCGAAAUAACAGCCCGUCGUCGUUUGAUCGAGGUCGAACCUUUAUUUUUGGAUGGUGAAGGCCCUUGGCCAUGAAGGGUGUUAUUUCGAACUUAUCGAAUUAACAGCCCGUCGUCGUUCGAUCAAGGUCGAACCUUUCUUUUUUUAUAGCGAAGGCCCUCGGCCUUGAAGGGUGUUAUUUUGAACUUAUCGAAAUAACAGCUCGUCAUUGUUCGAUCGAGGUUGAACCUUUAUUUUUUGAUUGCGAAGGCCCUUGGCCUUGGGUGUU